RNAcentral lists this long non-coding RNA (273 nucleotides) under Felis catus (domestic cat). RNAcentral describes it as "lncRNA (ENSFCAG00000051254.1)". Lineage: Eukaryota; Metazoa; Chordata; Mammalia; Carnivora; Felidae. The record is from RNAcentral.
AUACUAGGUACUUCUCCCCACAAGAUACUAGGUACUUCUCCACAAGGUACUAGGUACUUCUCCCACAAGGUACUAGGUACUUCCCCCACAAGGUACUGAGUACUUCUCCCCCACAAGAUACUAGGUACUUCUCCCACAAGAUACUAGGUACUUCUCCCACAAGAUACUAGGUACUUCUCCCACAAGGUACUAGGUACUUCUCCCACAAGAUACUAGGUACUUCUCCCACAAGGUACUAGGUACUUCUCCCACAAGAUACUAGGUACUUCUCCC